Molecule: ribosomal RNA, 158 nt
Filed under: Italica achilleae
Lineage: Eukaryota; Fungi; Ascomycota; Dothideomycetes; Pleosporales; Phaeosphaeriaceae
Description: 5.8S ribosomal RNA
Rfam family: 5.8S ribosomal RNA
About the family: 5.8S ribosomal RNA (5.8S rRNA) is a component of the large subunit of the eukaryotic ribosome.
Source: RNAcentral
ACAACUUUCAACAACGGAUCUCUUGGUUCUGGCAUCGAUGAAGAACGCAGCGAAAUGCGAUAAGUAGUGUGAAUUGCAGAAUUCAGUGAAUCAUCGAAUUUUUGAACGCACAUUGCGCCCCUUGGUAUUCCAUGGGGCAUGCCUGUUCGAGCGUCAUU